RNAcentral lists this ribosomal RNA (31 nucleotides) under Diadegma insulare. RNAcentral describes it as "partial 28S ribosomal RNA". The record is from RNAcentral. Lineage: Eukaryota; Metazoa; Arthropoda; Insecta; Hymenoptera; Ichneumonidae.
ACGACCUCAGAGCAGGCGAGACUACCCGCUG